Molecule: ribosomal RNA, 116 nt
Filed under: Salmonella enterica
Lineage: Bacteria; Pseudomonadati; Pseudomonadota; Gammaproteobacteria; Enterobacterales; Enterobacteriaceae
Also listed under: 1 other name
Source: RNAcentral
CCUGACGGCACUAGCGCGGUGGUCCCACCUGACCCCAUGCCGAACUCAGAAGUGAAACGCCGUAGCGCCGAUGGUAGUGUGGGGUCUCCCCAUGCGAGAGUAGGGAACUGCCAGGC